RNAcentral lists this ribosomal RNA (301 nucleotides) under uncultured bacterium. RNAcentral's name for it is "partial 16S ribosomal RNA". It matches the Rfam family "Bacterial small subunit ribosomal RNA", at positions 509 to 807 of the family's 1533-position model. The record is from RNAcentral.
CAGCCGCCGCGGUAAUACGUAGGUGGCAAGCGUUGUCCGGAUUUAUUGGGCGUAAAGCGAGCGCAGGCGGUUUCUUAAGUCUGAUGUGAGAGCCCCCGGCUCAACCGGGGAGGGUCAUUGGAAACUGGGAGACUUGAGUGCAGAAGAGGAGAGUGGAAUUCCAUGUGUAGCGGUGAAAUGCGUAGAUAUAUGGAGGAACACCAGUGGCGAAGGCGGCUCUCUGGUCUGUAACUGACGCUGAGGCUCGAAAGCGUGGGGAGCGAACAGGAUUAGAUACCCCCGUAGUCCCUGUCUCUUAUAC